UCUUCCUUCUACAUUUACCUCUCUGCACCGAGGGAGGAGGGGCUGUUGUUGGAGACUGAAUGAAGGACCAUCAUCACAGACUGCAGUGAAAGACUUUAACCAUGACCAUUAUAACCAGGCUACUACUUAUUACUGUGUUCUUUACAAGUGUUGAAUGUAUGACUCUGACUGAGUCUGAACCAGCAGUUAAAAAGCCUGGAGAAUCCCACACACUGACCUGUACAGCCUCUGGGUUCAUUGGGCCAUUGAGCAGCCACUAUAUGGGCUGGAUCAGACAGGCUCCUGGGAAGGGACUGGAGUGGGUGGCCCAGAUCUGGUCUGAUAGCAAUGCCACAUGGUAUGCCAAUUCUGUUGAGGGAAGAUUCACCAUCUCCGGAGACAACAGCAAGAAGCAGCUGUAUUUACAGAUGAACAGCCUGACAGCUGAAGACACCGCUGUGUAUUACUGUGCCAGA
Non-coding RNA from Anguilla anguilla (European eel), 455 nucleotides. Lineage: Eukaryota; Metazoa; Chordata; Actinopteri; Anguilliformes; Anguillidae. The record is from the annotation of a RefSeq genome assembly.